AUCUAACAAGCAUUUUAUCAUAUCUAACAACAUUUUAUCAUAUGCAGAAAAAGAUGCUUUAAAAAUCUUAUCGAGAAAGGUGGAAUUGGAAAAAAUCUGCUAGUGAGCUUACCUGUACUUACUGGAAAAUUCAAAAACAAAGAGUAUCCCAUUGAAAACAUGAUGAUUAUGGAGAUGGCACCACCAUCCACUCGUGUGUGUACUCUUCAUCAGUUUUGACAGCUAGCAUCUACAAGACUUACUGCGUAUCACUGAAGUGCUUAA
This 264-nucleotide long non-coding RNA is filed under the name Phasianus colchicus (ring-necked pheasant). RNAcentral's name for it is "lncRNA (ENSPCLG00000008035.1)". Lineage: Eukaryota; Metazoa; Chordata; Aves; Galliformes; Phasianidae. The record is from RNAcentral.